UGAGUAACACGUAUCCAACCUGCCGUCUACUCUUGGACAGCCUUCUGAAAGGAAGAUUAAUACAAGAUGGCAUCAUGAGUCCGCAUGUUCACAUGAUUAAAGGUAUUCCGGUAGACGAUGGGGAUGCGUUCCAUUAGAUAGUAGGCGGGGUAACGGCCCACCUAGUCUUCGAUGGAUAGGGUUCUGAGAGGAAGGUCCCCCACAUUGGAACUGAGACACGGUCCAA
This 226-nucleotide ribosomal RNA is filed under the name uncultured bacterium. Its description in RNAcentral is "partial 16S ribosomal RNA". It matches the Rfam family "Bacterial small subunit ribosomal RNA", at positions 107 to 334 of the family's 1533-position model. The record is from RNAcentral.